RNAcentral lists this ribosomal RNA (469 nucleotides) under uncultured bacterium. RNAcentral's name for it is "bacterial SSU rRNA". It matches the Rfam family "Bacterial small subunit ribosomal RNA", at positions 329 to 795 of the family's 1533-position model. The record is from RNAcentral.
UGCCAGACUCCUACGGGAGGCAGCAGUGAGGAAUAUUGGUCAAUGGGCGGAAGCCUGAACCAGCCAAGUCGCGUGAGGGACUAAGGCCCUGCGGGUCGUAAACCUCUUUUGCCGGGGAGCAGUGGUCCGGACGCGUCCGGACCGGGAGAGUACCCGGAGAAAAAGCAUCGGCUAACUCCGUGCCAGCAGCCGCGGUAAUACGGAGGAUGCGAGCGUUAUCCGGAUUUAUUGGGUUUAAAGGGUGCGCAGGCGGAAGAUCAAGUCAGCGGUAAAAUUGAGAGGCUCAACCUCUUCGAGCCGUUGAAACUGGUUUUCUUGAGUGAGCGAGAAGUAUGCGGAAUGCGUGGUGUAGCGGUGAAAUGCAUAGAUAUCACGCAGAACUCCGAUUGCGAAGGCAGCAUACCGGCGCUCAACUGACGCUCAUGCACGAAAGUGUGGGUAUCGAACAGGAUUAGAUACCCUAGUACAC